Molecule: long non-coding RNA, 812 nt
Filed under: Salmo salar (Atlantic salmon)
Lineage: Eukaryota; Metazoa; Chordata; Actinopteri; Salmoniformes; Salmonidae
Description: lncRNA (ENSSSAG00000108472.1)
Source: RNAcentral
CUUGAUUAUCUCUAUCCAUUACAGGGGAUCUCUGCUGUUACGUGACACUUCCUACGGCUCCCAUGAGCUCUCAGAAGGCGGCAAAAAGCUGAAUCGUGGCUUUGCAGGCUCUGGCUGAAAAAAAGUAGCUCGUUUGGUAGUGGCUGGUCACAGUACUGUGAGACUCAGGCACAUGCACGAGGGGACUCCAUGUUUUAUCUUUGAACGAAAACCACCGCUCCCGGUCGGGAAUAUUAUCGCUUUUUUACGAGAAAAAUGGCAUAAAAAUUGAUUUUAAACAGCGGCUGACAUGCUUCGAAGUACGGUAAUGGAAUAUUUAGAAUUUUUUUGUCACGAAAUGCGUCAUGCGCGUGACCCUUAUUUACACUUCGGAUAGUGUCUUGAACGCACGAACAAAACGCCGCUAUUUGGAUAUAACUAUGGAUUAUUUUGGACCAAACCAACAUUUGUUAUUGAAGUAGCAGUCCUGGGAGUGCAUUCUGACGAAGAACACCAAAGACAAUACCGUGUGGUGCCUGGGCUUCUUUCUGGAGUGGAUUAUAGGCAAAGAAGAGGCCGGACUUGGAGGGGACAGCUGUUCACUCAUACCAGUGACUGGCUCACAAGGCAGAGGGGAUGAUGAGCGAGCACCAGAAUAUUUAAAGAAGAAAAGAUAAAACAAUUUAGGCAAAAAUUACAAUGUGUAAGACAUUUCUUUAACUUAGGCGCACACAGCGUAAAGCCCUGCAUGGCUGCAUUAUUUACCCCAUAUAUUGUUUCACUUCCGAGAGGAGUAAAACUUUUCUUCUCCUGACACUGAUGCCACAACACUG